GCUAACUACGGGCCAGGAGCGGCGGUAAUACGUAGGGGGCAAGCGGUGUCCGGAUGUAUUGGGCGUAAAGAGCGUGUAGGCGGCCAGGUAGGUCUGCUGUGAAAACUCGAGGCUUAACCUCGAGCUGUCGGCGGAAACCAUCUGGCUAGAGUCCGGAAGAGGAGAAUGGAAUUCCCGGUGUAGCGGUGAAAUGCGCAGAUAUCGGGAAGAACACCCGUGGCGAAGGCGGUUCUCUGGGACGGUACUGACGCUGAGACGCGAAAGCGUGGGGAGCGAACAGGAUUAAAUACCCCAGUAGUC
This 300-nucleotide ribosomal RNA is filed under the name uncultured Candidatus Kuenenia sp. Its description in RNAcentral is "bacterial SSU rRNA". It matches the Rfam family "Bacterial small subunit ribosomal RNA", at positions 496 to 795 of the family's 1533-position model. Lineage: Bacteria; Pseudomonadati; Planctomycetota; Candidatus Brocadiia; Candidatus Brocadiales; Candidatus Brocadiaceae. The record is from RNAcentral.